AGUGAACGCUGGCGGUAGGCCUAAUACAUGCAAGUCGAACGGCAGCACAGUAAGAGCUUGCUCUAACGGGUGGCGAGUGGCGGACGGGUGAGGAAUACAUCGGAAUCUACCUUUUCGUGGGGGAUAACGUAGGGGAACUUACGCUAAUACCGCAUACGACCUACCGUUUUAAGCAAGUGAUCGUCGGAACUUGCGCUAGGGUAGGAGCCGGUGUCGGUUUAGCUAGUGUGCGGGGUAAAGGCCCACCAAAGCGACGAUACGUAGCUGGUCUGAGAGGAGGAUCAGCCACACUGGACCGGCGACACGGUCCAGGCUCCUACGGGACGCGGCAGUGGGGUAUAUUGGACAGUACGCGCAAUCAUGAUCCAGCCCUGCCGCGUGGGUGACGAAGGCCUUCGGGUUGUAGAGCUAUUCUGUUGUGAAAGAAAAGCAGCAGGUUCAUACCCUGCUGUUAUGACGGUACCCAAAGAAUAAGCACCGGCUAACUUCGUG
RNAcentral lists this ribosomal RNA (492 nucleotides) under uncultured bacterium. RNAcentral describes it as "partial 16S ribosomal RNA". It matches the Rfam family "Bacterial small subunit ribosomal RNA", at positions 29 to 507 of the family's 1533-position model. The record is from RNAcentral.